Podarcis lilfordi (Lilford's wall lizard) is the source of this 73-nucleotide non-coding RNA. The record is from the annotation of a GenBank genome assembly. Lineage: Eukaryota; Metazoa; Chordata; Lepidosauria; Squamata; Lacertidae.
GCAGGGACAGCUCAGUUGGUAUAGCAUGAAACUCCUCAUCUCAAGGUCGUGAGUUCGAACCCCACAUUGGGCA